CCCGCACCACCUUCUCAGACCAAGGUUAAUAAUAGAGCCUGUUUGAUUAUAAAUCAAACUAUAAAAGCUAAAUUAUACAAAUAGUUGUUUUCUUCUAUUUGUUUAAAAAGGUACCAUGUGCUUAUAUUUUUAUUUUGCUUUCUCACAUACACUUCUAUUUGGGACCACCAAUGUCUAUGCUUUCAUGUCCAACUUAUUACCUACAUGAGAACAAAGUUCUUCUCUUAUUUCUUCUUGACAUCAUCAAAAAUAUUGACUAGCUUCGCUAUAAUACCAUUAUUGCACUUGCUCUCACCUGUAAUUUGAUAACCUCGAUCUCGUGUACCAGUAGUGCGCCUACAAGCAUCUACAAGAGGAAUAAAGUGAGGGUAUGCAGGUAAUUUCAGUCAAUCACUAAUCUAGUUUCCAGUGCAUAGAAUUGCAUUAUUUCGUGGACAGAGGGAGAAAUUAAAAAAAAGUGGGACCGGUGAAACAUUAGCUCUAUUUCAGGUUCUGAACUUUUUUAGCUCCUUGCUAAAAUGUUACAAGAAACUAAAGUAGGUGAAGUUGAAAAAACGGGUUCACUUGAUUUGAGACCGGAACAGGAAAAGAGCUCUAUGAAUAAUGACUUGAAUUGUGGAUGUGAAGGAGUCAGAGCACCUUGAAGUCCAGCUAAACAGCAAAAAAAAAAAAGACUAGUUUCACAUGCUCUCAGUUUAUAUAUUUCAAAAAAGAGCAGCCCUUAAAAUUUAAAAUUAAUUAAUUACUUAAUUGACAUAGGAAAAAAACUUGCCGCACCCCCCUAAUCACGGUGACCUCGGAGACAGAAGCCUCAUGGCCUUCCUUCCUUUUCUGUGGAGAUUUUCCAAAAACUUGAUAUUAUGUAGUAAUUGCUAGUGAUAUGGAGUGUGCAAAUACUGACAAUCUAGUUGUGAUUCACACACAUUAGAAACAAUGAUUGCUCAUAUCAUACAACAUAUUACACGUUAACACGCCACCAAAAAAUAUAAAUGAUAGUACGCUGUAAACAAUAAUAUGUAACAUGCAUACGUUGUUAUCCACUCACAAUAAGUACCUGCUCACCUGUCACGC
Molecule: long non-coding RNA, 1071 nt
Filed under: Sorghum bicolor (sorghum)
Lineage: Eukaryota; Viridiplantae; Streptophyta; Magnoliopsida; Poales; Poaceae
Description: long non-coding RNA (SBIC_LNC001722)
Source: RNAcentral